Molecule: long non-coding RNA, 1219 nt
Organism: Carlito syrichta (Philippine tarsier)
Lineage: Eukaryota; Metazoa; Chordata; Mammalia; Primates; Tarsiidae
Exons: 4
Source: RefSeq, a predicted model, not a curated record
CAAGCUGUAACAUUAAAACCCAUCUUUGAGACUGCUGAAUAUAUUCACACCUGAGAUACGAAGAGAGGCAUUUCCAAGCUGUAUCAAAAGUACCCUGUCUGGACUUGGUCCAGAACCUGGUGGACCUUUUGCCACAGCCUACAGGAUGGAUUCCACAUGAGCAGCUAUCUCAUUUCAUCAUUAUGUGGAGAAACAACACAUGUGAGUCAGCAUACCUACGGAGGCUCCUGAUCCAUGGGGAUUGCCAGAUAUCACCCAAAGCUGAGGACCCAACAGAAAUGUGUUGUCUCAUCUGGAUGUGUUUGGAGGAAAGGUCUGUGGGAUGCAGCAUCCCAGUGAAAUUAUCAGUAUCCUUUUUGACAUGCCCUUAUGACUCCUUUAAUCUCAGAAGGUGCCCUGGAAAUAAGCUGCUAUCCUAGCAAAAAAGGACUGCAACCAGGUGGCUGGCCACGUAUCUUCUGAAAAUGAAGUAUUCUCCAAAAUACUGUUCCUGGUUGACUUGUGUGGUGAUGGAAAGUUCACGCAUGAUGCUGAGGAGCAGCCUAAGUGACAGUUGUGGACACCAACAUGGGAAAGAUGCUGAUGGUCCUGUCAGUAUGAUUGUGUUAGAUGCUGUAGAACUUGAAGUACGGGAGGCCAUCUUGGGGAGUACGACCAUUGGAAACAUCUACUCAGCAUUGCUUCAUGGCAUACACCGUCACAGAGGAGUUUGUGGCAGUGAUUGGUUGUCAUGACCAAUGAUUAACCAGUCACCGAGGGUCAUCAAGCAAUGAGUCGUUCUUGCUCAUGGAGGCAAGCUGGACUUUCACCAAUGCAUGCAAUUUGUUUCUCAAGGCCUGUGUGAAUCCAGAAACAAAUGAGUCUCGAGAUGCUCUUGGUAUAUUGUUUGAGGCGACCUAGAAUUCUUUUCCAAAUGGAGGGAGAAGAGAGUUUUUUCCAACUCUACAGUCAUGAGAGAAUCAGGUUCAUUUAGUGAUAGUAAAGGUACCUGUGGCUCACGAUGUGAAUGGCCCUGUCCUCUGCUGGGCAUCUUCUGAGUGCUUAGGGAGCUCAAAAUGGUGGCACAGAGCAAAGAGAAUCCACCGGAAAUCUGUUGAGAGGGGGCACUCAAGUCAAAAAUGUCUAUCCAACUUUUUUGAAGCCACCGUCUCUCUCGGUGGUUCAGCCUGUAAUCCCGUGCCUUUGGGAGGCUGAGGUGAGUGGAUUGCCUGAGCCCGCA